RNAcentral lists this ribosomal RNA (1544 nucleotides) under Escherichia coli O104:H4 str. 2011C-3493. RNAcentral's name for it is "16S ribosomal RNA". It matches the Rfam family "Bacterial small subunit ribosomal RNA". The record is from RNAcentral. Lineage: Bacteria; Pseudomonadati; Pseudomonadota; Gammaproteobacteria; Enterobacterales; Enterobacteriaceae.
UUAAAUUGAAGAGUUUGAUCAUGGCUCAGAUUGAACGCUGGCGGCAGGCCUAACACAUGCAAGUCGAACGGUAACAGGAAGCAGCUUGCUGUUUCGCUGACGAGUGGCGGACGGGUGAGUAAUGUCUGGGAAACUGCCUGAUGGAGGGGGAUAACUACUGGAAACGGUAGCUAAUACCGCAUAACGUCGCAAGACCAAAGAGGGGGACCUUCGGGCCUCUUGCCAUCGGAUGUGCCCAGAUGGGAUUAGCUUGUUGGUGGGGUAACGGCUCACCAAGGCGACGAUCCCUAGCUGGUCUGAGAGGAUGACCAGCCACACUGGAACUGAGACACGGUCCAGACUCCUACGGGAGGCAGCAGUGGGGAAUAUUGCACAAUGGGCGCAAGCCUGAUGCAGCCAUGCCGCGUGUAUGAAGAAGGCCUUCGGGUUGUAAAGUACUUUCAGCGGGGAGGAAGGGAGUAAAGUUAAUACCUUUGCUCAUUGACGUUACCCGCAGAAGAAGCACCGGCUAACUCCGUGCCAGCAGCCGCGGUAAUACGGAGGGUGCAAGCGUUAAUCGGAAUUACUGGGCGUAAAGCGCACGCAGGCGGUUUGUUAAGUCAGAUGUGAAAUCCCCGGGCUCAACCUGGGAACUGCAUCUGAUACUGGCAAGCUUGAGUCUCGUAGAGGGGGGUAGAAUUCCAGGUGUAGCGGUGAAAUGCGUAGAGAUCUGGAGGAAUACCGGUGGCGAAGGCGGCCCCCUGGACGAAGACUGACGCUCAGGUGCGAAAGCGUGGGGAGCAAACAGGAUUAGAUACCCUGGUAGUCCACGCCGUAAACGAUGUCGACUUGGAGGUUGUGCCCUUGAGGCGUGGCUUCCGGAGCUAACGCGUUAAGUCGACCGCCUGGGGAGUACGGCCGCAAGGUUAAAACUCAAAUGAAUUGACGGGGGCCCGCACAAGCGGUGGAGCAUGUGGUUUAAUUCGAUGCAACGCGAAGAACCUUACCUGGUCUUGACAUCCACGGAAGUUUUCAGAGAUGAGAAUGUGCCUUCGGGAACCGUGAGACAGGUGCUGCAUGGCUGUCGUCAGCUCGUGUUGUGAAAUGUUGGGUUAAGUCCCGCAACGAGCGCAACCCUUAUCCUUUGUUGCCAGCGGUCCGGCCGGGAACUCAAAGGAGACUGCCAGUGAUAAACUGGAGGAAGGUGGGGAUGACGUCAAGUCAUCAUGGCCCUUACGACCAGGGCUACACACGUGCUACAAUGGCGCAUACAAAGAGAAGCGACCUCGCGAGAGCAAGCGGACCUCAUAAAGUGCGUCGUAGUCCGGAUUGGAGUCUGCAACUCGACUCCAUGAAGUCGGAAUCGCUAGUAAUCGUGGAUCAGAAUGCCACGGUGAAUACGUUCCCGGGCCUUGUACACACCGCCCGUCACACCAUGGGAGUGGGUUGCAAAAGAAGUAGGUAGCUUAACCUUCGGGAGGGCGCUUACCACUUUGUGAUUCAUGACUGGGGUGAAGUCGUAACAAGGUAACCGUAGGGGAACCUGCGGUUGGAUCACCUCCUUA